CCUACGGGAGGCAGCAGUGGGGAAUAUUGCACAAUGGGGGAAACCCUGAUGCAGCGACGCCGCGUGAGUGAAGAAGUAUUUCGGUAUGUAAAGCUCUAUCAGCAGGGAAGAAGAAAGACGGGACCGGACGAAGAAGCCCCGGCUAACUACGUGCCAGCAGCCGCGGUAAGACGGAGGGGGAAAGCGUUAUCCGGAUUUACUGGGUGUAACGGGAGCGUAGACGGCUGUGCAAGUCGGACGUGAAAGCCCAUGGCUCAACCCUGGGACUGCUUUGGAAACUGUGGAGCUAGAGUGCUGGAGAGGUAAGUGGCCUUCCUAGUGUAGCGGUUAACUGCGUAGAUCUUAGGAGGCACACCAGUGGCGCAGGCGGCUUACUGGACAGUACCUGCCGUUGAGGCUCGACAGCGUGGGGAGCAAACAGGAUUAGAUACCCUGGUAGUC
This 441-nucleotide ribosomal RNA is filed under the name uncultured bacterium. RNAcentral's name for it is "partial 16S ribosomal RNA". It matches the Rfam family "Bacterial small subunit ribosomal RNA", at positions 338 to 795 of the family's 1533-position model. The record is from RNAcentral.